CUGAUCAGCAGGAGAAGUUCAUACCACUUGAGCUGGAUCUAUCUGCACAUGCACCUGGCCCAGGAAGCUGUAAUGGGAGAUCUGAUGAGCAGUGGAGAACUGAACCAAAGCCCUUGGCUUUUGCUCCAUACCAGUCAGAAUCUCAUCAUGAUAUCGUGUUGCAUUGAGUAGUCAUGCCUCCACAGGCUCUUCUUGGCUGUGACUGCUACGUUUUCCUUGGUUUUGCCCACCUUACCGUUUACAGAAGGUAGUGGUCAGGUAUUUGGUAGUGUAUCCCUUACUUGGGCUUUGCUUGAUGCUUCUCUUCUGAGAAAACUGGGGAUAUGCAUUUUGGGGAGGAAGGCCACAGAGAUGAAGUGACAUUCUUUUCACAUCAUAUCAGUGCUACAUACUAUCGAAAGGGCUAAUCACUGUUGAUGUUAAUUGUAAUCACCUGGCUAAGAUAUUCUUUGUCAGGAUUUUGACUUUAAAGUUACUCUUUAUGCUUUUCCUUCUCAGAAAAUGCUUUUUGAAAUGAAGUCACUCUGUGCAGCUGACAUUUAAAAAGUAGGAAAUUAUGUUGACAGAGUAUCUAUAUAAAUUAUGUGCAGUUCUUUUAUUUUCAGAGUUUGGAAUUAUAGCAUUCCUAUAAAUCUUAUUACUAAUGGCUCCACGAAUUGUGCACAACUGAUAUGUAUUAGUGCACAUCUUAAAAGCAUGUGGGCAUGAGCUGUAUUUGAAAAAACAUUCAGAUGGAAGAGCUACCUGUUUUGGAGUGAAUCUUAAUUGGAACUUAAUGAUGCCUCCUACUAAUUUACUAUUUCAGUUGAACCUACAAUAUCAGCUGUAGCCCAAAAAAUAUAAGAGCUACAAUUCAUGCAAUUCAACAUCAGCUGCCAAGGCCCACCUGGACUGCACCUGCAAAACCAGCUGUGGUUUCUUUGCUCUCACAAUUCAUGUCAGGGUUUUUCAGCCAAUGCAUCAUUGGUUUCAAAUUUUAUAUUGUUCCUCUCUCAAUCCUCCACCCCUCUAGUUUCUAAAUAAUAGAGAAUAAUUAGGUGAGGUUUAAACUCUCAGGACUAUUCAGGGUUUGUGGAGAAUAGGAAGGUUUCUUCCAGGUUACUGCACAAUUUUAAGAGCCUAUCAAGAAGUAUCCAAUAUUAACAAGUAGAAAAGCAGCAUGAGUAUGAGGAUGGAAUUUCCCACAAUACUUAGUACAUGGAAAAAAUGUAGAACAUACAAAAAAAAGCAGAUUGUAAAAAAAUUUCACAAAUAAACAUAGUUAUAAAAAUUAAUUUAUAA
Long non-coding RNA from Mandrillus leucophaeus (drill), 1281 nucleotides. RefSeq lists it as uncharacterized. The record is from RefSeq and is a predicted model, not a curated record. Lineage: Eukaryota; Metazoa; Chordata; Mammalia; Primates; Cercopithecidae. The transcript is spliced from 2 exons.